RNAcentral lists this ribosomal RNA (253 nucleotides) under uncultured bacterium. Its description in RNAcentral is "partial 16S ribosomal RNA". It matches the Rfam family "Bacterial small subunit ribosomal RNA", at positions 524 to 776 of the family's 1533-position model. The record is from RNAcentral.
UACGGGGGGGGCAAGCGUUGUUCGGAAUUACUGGGCGUAAAGAGCGUGUAGGCGGCCCGGUAAGUCCGCUGUGAAAGUCGGGGGCUCAACCCUCGAAUGCCGGUGGAUACUGUCGGGCUAGAGUGCGGAAGAGGCGAGUGGAAUUCCUGGUGUAGCGGUGAAAUGCGCAGAUAUCAGGAGGAACACCGAUUGCGAAGGCAGCUCGCUGGGACGUCACUGACGCUGAGACGCGAAAGCGUGGGGAGCAAACAGG